This 1733-nucleotide long non-coding RNA is filed under the name Sus scrofa (pig). The record is from RNAcentral. Lineage: Eukaryota; Metazoa; Chordata; Mammalia; Artiodactyla; Suidae.
CUGUGGGCAGGCCUUUUUAAGAAUAGCGUGCCGACGUGUACUUGGUGUUAGUUCCUUUUGCUCCCUCCUUGCAGGAAGCCCCAGCCAGAGUCUUUUUCUCCACCAUUUACUAGGAGAACUUGGUCAGACUCCUGGAGGUGAAACUCAUGGAUGCAUGGAGAGGCCCAUCUCUGACUGGGUCCCCUUGGAGGCUGGAAUCCUUGAACUUGUCUGCUCUGAGCCUCCAGCAAUAUAAUUUAUUAAUUACAGUUCGGGCUUUUUUUGUUUGUUUGUUUUUACUCUGGGACCAGUUCUGAGGGAGUUUCAGCUCAUGUGUUUCUGCUCUGAAGAAUCCAAAGGCGGCGCAUGUAAAUGGAAUAUGGUUUGCUAACCUGGGAAGGCUAUGCCAAGCAGAAAUUCAAUCCAGUAGCCUCCUGGUCCAGCCCAUCCUCAGGAGCUGUGAGAAUACUUUACUUUCUCGUUUCUGACCGCCCUGCACGUACAAGGAACCAGCUAUCCUGCAUCAUCAGAAUUGCAAAGAGAGUAUGCCUCAAUAUUUUAUGGUUCAAACUGCUGUAAUUUCCAAAAAUGCUAAAAGUUGCCUCUGUGCACCCUUUCAAAACCAAACAUCUGUCUCUGGAGCCUGAAACACAGCGGGGGAUGGGAGGGUAAACGUAGCUUGGGUGACAGUAGGCCCUUUGGCUGGCUUCUUCUUUCUAAGUGGUGCCUUUUAUGGUGAUAUACUGACAUGAUGGUUUUUAAGGUUAUGAAAAUAAAAAUUCUAGUGGAAGGCUUUCAACACAAGAUUAUGACACCCUGAGAAAAUUUAGUCAAAGAUGGUGCCGCCUUGUUGCUUCCUCCUAUAAACCGUUUAUGGAGGCAUUAUAUAGCAAAAGCCUGUUUCACCUGUUGUUAGAAUUUUGUUAAGUCUAGGUGUCGUUUUUUUCCCUGGAAUUGGUCAUAGUAGGAAGAAUCAUGUUUUUCAGAGGUGCGUUUGGGCUUGAUAGCAUUCUGAUGAGUCCACAAUAUUCAUCAUCAACCUAGAGACACUCAAAAUACACAAAAUGAUUAUGCAAGAAGAUGCUUGUGCAAUAAAUGUACAGCUUUGCCAUGAAUAUAUGACUGCCCCUGGGUUCUCCCACCACUGAAUUGCCUCUCUUGCAACCAGAUUGCUCUUCAUAAACUCCCCAGGGGAAAUUCUGGAGCACCGUGGUCCAGUGCCUCUCCCUUUUGCAGAGUUUUCAAGCAAAAAGAACUACUGAUGAUGCCGUACUAUUCUUACCUAGGUUAAGCGAUGAAAAACCCUGUGUUUUGCAGCCUGAUGAGGUCCUCCGAAAUGAGGUGAAGUUUGUCACUGCACAUUUUUCCUGUAGUUGACUCCAGGCCUAUCAGUGGAGAGGAACAGCAGGUCUGACUUGACACUCAGGGUACACAUUUUUAAAUAAGUAACUUCAUGUGAUUGCAUAUAUAUUUAAGGUCACAUCUUCCUCCUUGGAUUCUCUAAAUUCUUUCUUUGCUCUGAAUUUAAGCUCUUCCUUGCCCUCCAGCAGAGCUUUGGCACCUGAGAGCAAUGAACUCAGUGCAAAAAGCAGAAGGCUCUCUGUCCUGAGGCUCCCCAUGGCUAUAAGACAAUCUUUUCCAACCAUUUCUACUGCUCCCAACUUCCACUUAACACACUUCUCAUAAUUGUAGGCAUUCAUUUCCACUGUUUUUUGAAACAAAUUUAAGUAUUUCUUGACCUUCCAUAAAGUAGG